AUGGUCGGAAAAAGCAGCAGAACUCAUCCUAAAGUAGUAUUAAUUAUACCACCCAUCCCCAAGGAGCGUUUCGUGUGCUGGUGUUUGGCACCAACCCCACUCCCAUCGUGGUGUUUGCUGUAUAAUUAAAGUUUUCUCCAGACUCCCAUGGCCAGGAGCCGCGGAGGAGAGCAAGAGCGAAGGCAUUGCGAAACGCACGAAUGUUGCAAUCAGCUAAAUGUCUCAACGCUUCGCAGAAUUUUCUCAAUUGUGCUUUGCAUUUGUCAAAUUCGAAAUUCGCUUCCUCCCCGCCAAAAAGGACGUGUACUACACAUUUGUUGCGGCGGUCGCUUCGCAAAGACAAAUUUCCACCAGCAACCAGCACAGCAUUUCUGAUCCUGAUUAACGAAUGAUUCCAACCGUUUUGACGUAAUCUUGUCUCGCUUAUAUAACGGCACUGGGCCCAUCACCACCACCACCACUAUUGCCCCUCCCAGUGCGAGGACCGAGAGACACAUUCAAAAGCGGAUCCUUCAACCGUGGAAAACGUUAAAAGCGUAACCAAAUUUGCUCCGAACCGUAGAGCAGCUUCCUUCGCACCAGCUGCACUUUGGGAUUUUGUUUUACUGCGACAUAAGUCACGGCGGCUUACAUUAACACAGGCGGCCGCAGCCGCUUUGAGGUUAGGCCCCGCAGCUAAGGAUUUGCUUCCCAACCUCCUCCACUCCACCUUUACCGCGCGUCCACAGAUCCACAGAGUGUGUGUGUGUGUGUUCGAAUGUUCCUUUGUUCACUGUGGCGUAUACGCGUUCCCCAACCCCCCCCCCCUUACGUAGCUAAAUAUGACUCAUUUCGACCGAAUGCCUCCGCAUUCGCAAAAGAUCUUAUUGGAGCGUGCCAAAAAGGACAGGCGGCAGUGGCAGCCAGCAAGUCGACAAGCCAAUUUAAAAUGCUUUCACGGUACUUGCUGCUUCACCACACUGCGCACCCCACUCCAAUCUGCCAAUCUGUCCGCCGCCUGCUCUGUUGCUCUCUUUUGCUGCGGGAUCGAACCGUAGAAGCUUUGAAAAUCAAUUAAUCAUAUGUACAAUGGACAAACACACACACACGGUGCCACACACACACAUAGGAACGCACAUGGUGUACAGGGCAUCAGGUUGGCACUGCUCUUCUUGUCCAUCUAGCUUCGAUGCUAUCGGUAUGUGGUGGUGGUAGUGCAAUAAAAAGAUCACUUUAUUGGAUUACGGCA
This is a long non-coding RNA of Anopheles arabiensis, 1228 nucleotides long. RefSeq lists it as uncharacterized. The record is from RefSeq and is a predicted model, not a curated record. NCBI's taxonomy places the organism in Eukaryota, Metazoa, Arthropoda, Insecta, Diptera, Culicidae. The transcript has 2 exons.